GGACCAUUAGCGCAGCUGGUAUAGAGCAACCGGCUCAUAACCGGUCGGUCCGGGGUUCGAAUCCCUGAUGGUCCACCA
RNAcentral lists this transfer RNA (78 nucleotides) under Clostridia bacterium. RNAcentral describes it as "tRNA-Ile". It matches the Rfam family "tRNA". From Rfam's summary of the family: Transfer RNA (tRNA) molecules are approximately 80 nucleotides in length. Their secondary structure includes four short double-helical elements and three loops (D, anti-codon, and T loops). The record is from RNAcentral. Lineage: Bacteria; Bacillati; Bacillota; Clostridia.